GUAAGCCGAAGGGCAGCUACCGGCCCCAAUAUAUGGGGGCUGAGGAAACUCCCCCCAUCAUACAGAACCACGGUGCCGGAAGGCAUCAGCCGAGAGGCUGGGCUCUGGAGCAGAAACGACACGUCCUCCAAGUGGAUGAUAAUGAAACCCUACAAUUAAAGGGGUUGACUGACACUGGAGGGAACGGUGAAACGGCCAACCCGUGGGAUGCAAGGGUAAAUACUGCCAAUGAGCACUGUACGAGGCAGAGGUGGCCCGCCUAGAUGAAUGCUGCCCGUGAACAGAAGGGGGGUUACUCUCGGCAUGC
Molecule: RNase P RNA, 307 nt
Filed under: Methanobacteriaceae archaeon
Lineage: Archaea; Methanobacteriati; Methanobacteriota; Methanobacteria; Methanobacteriales; Methanobacteriaceae
Description: RNase P RNA component
Rfam family: Archaeal RNase P
About the family: Ribonuclease P (RNase P) is a ubiquitous endoribonuclease, found in archaea, bacteria and eukarya as well as chloroplasts and mitochondria.
Source: RNAcentral